ACUGCUAUCGGAUUGAUACUAAGCCAUGCGAGUCUUUGUAGCAAUACAAGGCAGACGGCUCAGUAACACGUAGUCAAUCUACCCUAUGGACGGGGAUAACCUCGGGAAACUGAGAAUAAUACCCGAUAGAUCAUUAUGCCUGGAAUGGUUUAUGGUCGAAAUGAUUUAUCGCCGUAGGAUGGGACUGCGGUCUAUCAGCUUGUUGGUGAGGUAAUGGCCCACCAAGGCUAUAACAGAUACGGGCUCUGAGAGGAGAAGCCCGGAGAUGGGUACUGAGACACGGACCCAGGCCCUAUGGGGCGCAGCAGGCGAGAAAACUUUGCAAUGUGCGAAAGCACGACAAGGUUAAUCCGAGUGUUUUCUGCUAAAGAAAUCUUUUGUCAGUCCUAAAAACACUGAUGAAUAAGGGGUGGGCAAGUUCUGGUGUCAGCCGCCGCGGUAAAACCAGCACCUCAAGUGGUCAGGAGGAUUAUUGGGCCUAAAGCAUCCGUAGCCGGCCGUGUAAGUUUUCGGUUAAAUCUAUACGCUCAACGUAUAGGCUGCCGGGAAUACUGCACAGCUAGGGAGUGGGAGAGGUAGACGGUACUCGGUAGGAAGGGGUAAAAUCCUUUGAUCUAUUGAUGACCACCUGUGGCGAAGGCGGUCUACUAGAACACGUCCGACGGUGAGGGAUGAAAGCUGGGGGAGCAGACCGGAUUAGAUACCCGGGUAGUCCCAGCCGUAAACAAUGCAAACUCAGUGAUGCACUGGCUUGUGGCCAGUGCAGUGCCGCAGGGAAGCCGUUAAGUUUGCCGCCUGGGAAGUACGUACGCAAGUAUGAAACUUAAAGGAAUUGGCGGGGGAGCACCACAAGGGGUGAAG
This 861-nucleotide ribosomal RNA is filed under the name uncultured archaeon. RNAcentral describes it as "bacterial SSU rRNA". It matches the Rfam family "Archaeal small subunit ribosomal RNA", at positions 26 to 893 of the family's 1478-position model. The record is from RNAcentral.